Long non-coding RNA from Medicago truncatula (barrel medic), 444 nucleotides. RefSeq lists it as uncharacterized. The record is from RefSeq and is a predicted model, not a curated record. The transcript has 2 exons. Lineage: Eukaryota; Viridiplantae; Streptophyta; Magnoliopsida; Fabales; Fabaceae.
UUUAUAGACAAUCUUGUUUCAAUACACAGAAGCAGAACACUCAUCUUGACUGAGAAAAAGCAUACAAAAUGGUUUCAUUUCUUGAUUUUUUUCUUUCACCAACUCUUGCCACCAAAGUAAGACGAUUGGUUUCGAGGACUGAUAAACCUAACCCUAAGCCUCAGCCAUCCAAGUCUCCAUUAACAAUUGCAGAUAGAGACUUUCCAAGGGGACACAAUUAUUAGGAAUAUAUGCAGCAUAGAGAAUGUCACAAGAUUCAGGAUGUGAUAAUGGCCACUCCUCCCUAGCUUGAUAAUAAGUUUCUGUGUCUUAGGAUGUGAUAUUAUAUAUAUAAGUUUCGUGAUCGUUUCAUUGUAUUACUUUUUGCAAUCUGUUUGAAAAUAGUUAAGGGCACAAGUUAACAUUUCCUAUAAAUAAUUGCCGUGAUGCUAGUUUGUUUCUUUA